This 50-nucleotide transfer RNA is filed under the name Syzygiella securifolia. RNAcentral describes it as "partial tRNA-His". Lineage: Eukaryota; Viridiplantae; Streptophyta; Jungermanniopsida; Jungermanniales; Adelanthaceae. The record is from RNAcentral.
GGGACGUAGCCAAGUGGAUUAAGGCAGUGGAUUGUGGAUCCUCCAUUCGC